RNAcentral lists this long non-coding RNA (598 nucleotides) under Homo sapiens (human). RNAcentral describes it as "non-protein coding lnc-ZBTB8OS-3:5". The record is from RNAcentral. Lineage: Eukaryota; Metazoa; Chordata; Mammalia; Primates; Hominidae.
CGCAGGAAGAGGAAGAUGUUAGAGAUUACAAUUUGACUGAAGAACAGAAGGCGAUCAAGGCCAAGUAUCCGCCAGUCAAUAGGAAGUACGAGUAUUUGGAUCAUACAGCAGAUGUCCAGUGAGUAUAGCGGGAGUUCAUUCCUUUGAAACCACGUCAGUAGGAAGACUGAAUGUUUCAAUCUUGGUUACACGCAUGGGGAGAUACUCUGGAGGAAGCAUUUGAGCAAUGUGCAAUGGCCAUGUUUGGUUACAUGACAGAUACUGGGACAGUGGAGCCCCUCCAAACAGUAGAAGUAGAAACCCAAGGAGAUGACUUACAGUCUCUUCUGUUUCACUUUUUGGAUGAAUGGCUUUAUAAGUUCAGUGCUGAUGAAUUCUUCAUACCCCGGGAAGUGAAAGUACUUAGCAUUGAUCAAAGAAAUUUCAAAUUACGAUCAAUUGGGUGGGGAGAAGAAUUUUCAUUGUCCAAGCACCCUCAGGGAACAGAAGUCAAAGCAAUAACAUAUUCAGCAAUGCAGGUCUAUAAUGAAGAGAACCCGGAAGUUUUUGUGAUCAUUGACAUUUAAGACACCAAAAAAUAAAAGACUCCUACGAAGAA